RNAcentral lists this unclassified non-coding RNA (342 nucleotides) under soil metagenome. RNAcentral's name for it is "partial contains 5.8S ribosomal RNA, internal transcribed spacer 2, and large subunit ribosomal RNA". The stretch from base 1 to 120 matches the Rfam family "5.8S ribosomal RNA", at positions 35 to 154 of the family's 154-position model. The record is from RNAcentral.
GAUGAAGAACGCAGCAAAAUGCGAUAAGUAAUGUGAAUUGCAGAAUUCAGUGAAUCAUCGAAUCUUUGAACGCACAUUGCGCCCGCCAGUAUUCUGGCGGGCAUGCCUGUUCGAGCGUCAUUUCAACCCUCAAGCCCCCGGGUUUGGUGUUGGGGAUCGGGCUGUACUCCAGCCCGGCCCCGAAAUCUAGUGGCGGUCUCGCUGCAGCCUCCAUUGCGUAGUAGCUAACACCUCGCAACUGGAACGCGGCGCGGCCAAGCCGUUAAACCCCCAACUUCUGAAUGUUGACCUCGGAUCAGGUAGGAAUACCCGCUGAACUUAAGCAUAUCAAUAAGCGGAGGA